GACGAACGCUGGCGGCGUGCUUAACACAUGCAAGUCGAGCGGUAAGGCCCUUUCGGGGGUACACGAGCGGCGAACGGGUGAGUAACACGUGGGUGAUCUGCCCUGCACUUCGGGAUAAGCCUGGGAAACUGGGUCUAAUACCGGAUAUGACCACUGAUCGCAUGGUUGGCGGUGGAAAGGUUUACUGGUGCAGGAUGGGCCCGCGGCCUAUCAGCUUGUUGGUGGGGUAAUGGCCUAACAAGGCGACGACGGGUAGCCGACCUGGGAGGGUGACCGGCCACACUGGGACUGAGACACGGCCCAGACUCCUACGGGAGGCAGCAGUGGGGAAUAUUGCACAAUGGGCGAAAGCCUGAUGCAGCGACGCCGCGUGAGGGAUGACGGCCUUCGGGUUGUAAACCUCUUUCAGCAGGGACGAAGCGCAAGUGACGGUACCUGCAGAAGAAGCACCGGCCAACUACGUGCCAGCCGCCGCGGUAA
This 480-nucleotide ribosomal RNA is filed under the name uncultured bacterium. RNAcentral describes it as "partial 16S ribosomal RNA". It matches the Rfam family "Bacterial small subunit ribosomal RNA", at positions 28 to 523 of the family's 1533-position model. The record is from RNAcentral.